Molecule: ribosomal RNA, 460 nt
Filed under: uncultured bacterium
Lineage: Bacteria
Description: partial 16S ribosomal RNA
Rfam family: Bacterial small subunit ribosomal RNA
Source: RNAcentral
CCUACGGGUGGCAGCAGUGAGGAAUAUUGGUCAAUGGGCGGGAGCCUGAACCAGCCAAGCCGCGUGAAGGAAGAAGGCGCCAAGCGUCGUAAACUUCUUUUGUCGGGGAACAAAGGGCGCCACGUGUGGCGUUGUGAGUGUACCCUAAGAAAAAGCAUCGGCUAACUCCGUGCCAGCAGCCGCGGUAAUACGGAGGAUGCGAGCGUUAACCGGAUUUAUUGGGUUUAAAGGGUGCGUAGGCGGUCCGGAAAGUCAAGGGUAAAAAGCCCGGGCUCAACUCCGGGCGGGCCUUUGAAAUGGUCGGACUAGAGAGUGCGAGAGGUAGGCGGAAUGCGAGGUGUAGCGGUGAAAUGCAUAGAUAUCGCGCAGAACACCGAUUGCGAAGGCAGCGUACCGGCGCAGGACUGACGCUGAGGCACGAAAGCGUGGGUAUCGAACAGGAUUAGAUACCCUUGUAGUC